GGGGCCUACGGGGGGCAGCAGUGGGGAAUAUUGCACAAUGGGGGAAACCCUGAUGCAGCGACGCCGCGUGAAGGAAGAAGUAUUUCGGUAUGUAAACUUCUAUCAGCAGGGAAGAAAAUGACGGUACCUGACUAAGAAGCCCCGGCUAACUACGUGCCAGCAGCCGCGGUAAUACGUAGGGGGCAAGCGUUAUCCGGAUUUAUUGGGUGUAAAGGGCGCGUAGAUGGAUAAACAAGUUGUUUGUGAAAUACCUCGGCUCAACUGAGGAACUGCAAGCAAAACUGUAUAUCUUGAGUACUGGAGGG
Molecule: ribosomal RNA, 305 nt
Filed under: uncultured bacterium
Lineage: Bacteria
Description: bacterial SSU rRNA
Rfam family: Bacterial small subunit ribosomal RNA
Source: RNAcentral